RNAcentral lists this ribosomal RNA (264 nucleotides) under uncultured bacterium. Its description in RNAcentral is "partial 16S ribosomal RNA". It matches the Rfam family "Bacterial small subunit ribosomal RNA", at positions 793 to 1055 of the family's 1533-position model. The record is from RNAcentral.
GUCCACGCCGUAAACGAUGAGUGCUAGAUGUUGGGGACUCUGUUCUCAGUGUCGCAGCUAACGCAUUAAGCACUCCGCCUGGGGAGUACGGCCGCAAGGUUAAAACUCAAAGGAAUUGACGGGGCCCGCACAAGCGGUGGAGCAUGUGGUUUAAUUCGACGCAACGCGCAGAACCUUACCAGCCCUUGACAUGGGGAGUAUGGGGUCGAGAGAUCGGUCCCUUCAGUUCGGCUGGCUCCCACACAGGUGCUGCAUGGCUGUCGU